UCGCCUACUGAACACAUAGUAGGUCCAUCCUGCCCAGUGGUAAUCACUCAACGGCCGCGGUACUCUGACCGUGCAAAGGUAGCAUAAUCACUUGCCCUUUAAUUGUGGGCUAGUAUGAACGGACACACGAAAACACACUGUCUCUAGGAAGCCCAUAGAAACUAUAAUUCAAGUGAAGAUACUUGAACCCCACUACAAGACAAGAAGACCCUACAGAGCUUUAUUAACAAGCUACCACACAUACAUUAAUCGGCCUUAAUUUGGUUGGGAUGACCAAAGACCACACAAAGCGUCUUCAAGCCCCCCUGGACCACAAUCAAUAGAACCAUCAUUGAAUAAGAAGCAGCUACCUUAGGGAUAACAGGCUAAUUCCACUAGAGAGAUCACAUUGACAGUGGAGGUUGGCACCUCGAUGUUGGCUUAGUGAAUCCCCCAGGUGCAGCAGCCUGGAUGAGUCGGUUUGUUCAACCGUUAAAACACUA
RNAcentral lists this ribosomal RNA (482 nucleotides) under Namalycastis indica. RNAcentral's name for it is "partial 16S ribosomal RNA". It matches the Rfam family "Bacterial large subunit ribosomal RNA", at positions 1816 to 2598 of the family's 2925-position model. The record is from RNAcentral. Lineage: Eukaryota; Metazoa; Annelida; Polychaeta; Phyllodocida; Nereididae.